ACUCCUACGGGAGGCAGCAGUGGGGAAUCUUGCACAAUGGGCGAAAGCCUGAUGCAGCCAUGCCGCGUGAAUGAUGAAGGCCUUAGGGUUGUAAAAUUCUUUCGCCAGGGAUGAUAAUGACAGUACCUGGUAAAGAAGCCCCGCUAAGCUUACUGUGCCAGCAGCCGCGGUAAUACGAAGGGGCGUAGCGUUGUUCGGAAUUACUGGGCGUAAAGCGCAUGCAGGUGGUUUGUUAAGUCAGAUGUGAAAGCCCGGGCGUCAACCUCGGAAUUGCAUUUGAAACUGGCAGACUAGAGUACUGUAGAGGGGUGAGAAUUUCAGGUGUAGCGGUGAAAUGCGUAGAGAUCUGAAGGAAUACCGGUGGCGAAGGCGGCCC
This 376-nucleotide ribosomal RNA is filed under the name uncultured bacterium. RNAcentral describes it as "bacterial SSU rRNA". It matches the Rfam family "Bacterial small subunit ribosomal RNA", at positions 335 to 729 of the family's 1533-position model. The record is from RNAcentral.